AGAGUUUGAUCCUGGCUCAGGAUGAACGCUGGCGGCGUGCUUAACACAUGCAAGUCGAACGAAGCGCUACCGACGGAACUUUUCGGAGGGAAGAUGGUAAUGACUGAGUGGCGGACGGGUGAGUAACGCGUGGGUAACCUGCCUCACAGAGGGGGACAACAGCCGGAAACGGCUGCUAAUACCGCAUAACAAGGGAUUGCCGCAUGACGAUCCUUUCAAAGAUUUAUCGCUGUGAGAUGGACCCGCGUCUGAUUAGCUUGUUGGUGGGGUAACGGCCUACCAAGGCGACGAUCAGUAGCCGGCUUGAGAGAGUGAACGGCCACAUUGGGACUGAGACACGGCCCAGACUCCUACGGGAGGCAGCAGUGGGGAAUAUUGCACAAUGGGGGAAACCCUGAUGCAGCGACGCCGCGUGAGUGAAGAAGUAUUUCGGUAUGUAAAACUCUAUCAGCAGGGAAGAUAAUGACGGUACCUGACUAAGAAGCCCCGGCUAACUACGUG
RNAcentral lists this ribosomal RNA (501 nucleotides) under uncultured Lachnospiraceae bacterium. RNAcentral describes it as "bacterial SSU rRNA". It matches the Rfam family "Bacterial small subunit ribosomal RNA", at positions 8 to 507 of the family's 1533-position model. Lineage: Bacteria; Bacillati; Bacillota; Clostridia; Lachnospirales; Lachnospiraceae. The record is from RNAcentral.